RNAcentral lists this transfer RNA (76 nucleotides) under Aeropyrum globular virus 1. Its description in RNAcentral is "tRNA-Glu". It matches the Rfam family "tRNA". Rfam says of the family: Transfer RNA (tRNA) molecules are approximately 80 nucleotides in length. Their secondary structure includes four short double-helical elements and three loops (D, anti-codon, and T loops). The record is from RNAcentral.
GAAACGGUAGGCUGGGCGCCCCGCCUACUGCGGGCCUUUCGAGCCCGUGACCCGGGUUCAAAUCCCGGCCGCGGCA